Molecule: ribosomal RNA, 441 nt
Filed under: uncultured bacterium
Lineage: Bacteria
Description: partial 16S ribosomal RNA
Rfam family: Bacterial small subunit ribosomal RNA
Source: RNAcentral
CCUACGGGAGGCAGCAGUCGGGAAUAUUGCGCAAUGGACGAGACUCUGACGCAGUGACGCCGCGUGAAGGAAGAAGGUCCUCGGAUUGUAAACUGCUUUAGACAGGGAAGUAAAAAGACAGUAGCGGUAGAAUAAGCUUCUGCUAACUACGUGCCAACAGCCGCGGUAAUAGGCAGGGAGCAAGCGUUAUCCGGAGUUAUGGGGUUUAAAGGGUGCGUAGGCGGAGAAGCAAGUUAGUUGUGAAAGCCCGCGGCUUAACUGAGGAACUGCAACUAAAACUACUUCCCUUGAGUACUGGAGAGGAGAGUGGAAUUCCUAGUGUAGCGGUGAAAUGCGUAGAUAUUAGGAAGAACAGCAGUGGCGAAGGCGACUUUCUGGACAGUAACUGACGUUGAGGCACGAAAGUGUGGGGAGCAAACAGGAUUAGAUACCCUGGUAGUC